RNAcentral lists this ribosomal RNA (439 nucleotides) under uncultured Porphyrobacter sp. Its description in RNAcentral is "bacterial SSU rRNA". It matches the Rfam family "Bacterial small subunit ribosomal RNA", at positions 338 to 794 of the family's 1533-position model. The record is from RNAcentral. Lineage: Bacteria; Pseudomonadati; Pseudomonadota; Alphaproteobacteria; Sphingomonadales; Erythrobacteraceae.
CCUACGGGAGGCAGCAGUGGGGAAUAUUGGACAAUGGGCGAAAGCCUGAUCCAGCCAUGCCGCGUGGAUGAAGAAGGCCCUAGGGUUGUAAAGUCCUUUCGGUGGUGAAGAUAAUGACGGUAACCACAGAAGAAGCCCCGGCUAAUUUCGUGCCAGCAGCCGCGGUAAUACGAAAGGGGCUAGCGUUGUUCGGAAUUACUGGGCGUAAAGCGCACGUAGGCGGCCUUGUAAGUUGGGGGUGAAAUCCCGGGGCUCAACUCCGGAACUGCCUCCAAAACUACAAAGCUAGAGGAUGCGAGAGGAUAGUGGAAUUCCGAGUGUAGAGGUGAAAUUCGUAGAUAUUCGGAAGAACACCAGUGGCGAAGGCGACUGUCUGGCGCAUUUCUGACGCUGAGGUGCGAAAGCGUGGGGAGCAAACAGGAUUAGAUACCCCUGUAGU